UCAGUCGACUCCUACGGGGAGGCAGCAGUGGGGGAAUAUUGCACAAUGGGCGCAAGCCUGAUGCAGCCAUGCCGCGUGUAUGAAGAAGGCCUUCGGGUUGUAAAGUACUUUCAGCAGUGAGGAAGGCGGGUACGGUUAAUAGCGUGCUUGUUUGACGUUAGCUGCAGAAGAAGCACCGGCUAACUCCGUGCCAGCAGCCGCGGUAAUACGGAGGGUGCGAGCGUUAAUCGGAAUUACUGGGCGUAAAGCGCAUGCAGGUGGUUUGUUAAGUCAGAUGUGAAAGCCCGGGGCUCAACCUCGGAAUUGCAUUUGAAACUAGGCAGACUAGAGUACUGUAGAGGGGGGUAGGAAUUUCAGGUGUAGCGGUGAAAUGCGUAGAGAUCUGAAGGAAUACCGGUGGCGAAGGCGGCCCCCUGGACAGAUACUGACACUCAGAUGCGAAAGCGUGGGGAGCAAACAGGAUUAGAUACCCUGGUAG
This 478-nucleotide ribosomal RNA is filed under the name uncultured bacterium. RNAcentral describes it as "bacterial SSU rRNA". It matches the Rfam family "Bacterial small subunit ribosomal RNA", at positions 328 to 793 of the family's 1533-position model. The record is from RNAcentral.